UCCCAAAUCAUGGUUGACAAGAUCUUCCUU
RNAcentral lists this non-coding RNA (30 nucleotides) under Rattus norvegicus (Norway rat). The record is from RNAcentral. Lineage: Eukaryota; Metazoa; Chordata; Mammalia; Rodentia; Muridae.